RNAcentral lists this ribosomal RNA (497 nucleotides) under uncultured bacterium. RNAcentral's name for it is "partial 16S ribosomal RNA". It matches the Rfam family "Bacterial small subunit ribosomal RNA", at positions 28 to 507 of the family's 1533-position model. The record is from RNAcentral.
GAUGAACGCUGGCGGCGUGCCUAAUACAUGCAAGUCGAGCGAACAGACGAGGAGCUUGCUCCUCUGACGUUAGCGGCGGACGGGUGAGUAACACGUGGAUAACCUACCUAUAAGACUGGGAUAACUUCGUGAAACCGGAGCUAAUACCGGAUAAUAUCUUGAACCGCAUUGUUCAAUAGUGAAAGACGGUUUUGCUGUCACUUAUAGAUGGAUCCGCGCGGCAUUAGCUAGUUGGUAAGGUAACGGCUUACCAAGGCAAUGAUGCGUAGCCGACCUGAGAGGGUGAUCGGCCACACUGGAACUGAGACACGGUCCAGACUCCUACGGGAGGCAGCAGUAGGGAAUCUUCCGCAAUGGGCGAAAGCCUGACGGAGCAACGCCGCGUGAGUGAUGAAGGUCUUCGGAUCGUAAAACUCUGUUAUUAGGGAAGAACAAAUGUGUAAGUAACUAUGCACGUCUUGACGGUACCUAAUCAGAAAGCCACGGCUAACUACGUG